This 469-nucleotide ribosomal RNA is filed under the name Vibrio cholerae. Its description in RNAcentral is "partial 23S ribosomal RNA". It matches the Rfam family "Bacterial large subunit ribosomal RNA", at positions 719 to 1188 of the family's 2925-position model. The record is from RNAcentral. Lineage: Bacteria; Pseudomonadati; Pseudomonadota; Gammaproteobacteria; Vibrionales; Vibrionaceae.
AACCGGGUGAUCUAGCCAUGGGCAGGUUGAAGGUUGAGUAACAUCAACUGGAGGACCGAACCGACUAAUGUUGAAAAAUUAGCGGAUGACUUGUGGCUAGGGGUGAAAGGCCAAUCAAACUCGGAGAUAGCUGGUUCUCCCCGAAAGCUAUUUAGGUAGCGCCUCGGACGAAUACUACUGGGGGUAGAGCACUGUUAAGGCUAGGGGGUCAUCCCGACUUACCAACCCUUUGCAAACUCCGAAUACCAGUAAGUACUAUCCGGGAGACACACGGCGGGUGCUAACGUCCGUCGUGGAGAGGGAAACAACCCAGACCGCCAGCUAAGGUCCCAAAGUAUUGCUAAGUGGGAAACGAUGUGGGAAGGCUCAGACAGCUAGGAUGUUGGCUUAGAAGCAGCCAUCAUUUAAAGAAAGCGUAAUAGCUCACUAGUCGAGUCGGCCUGCGCGGAAGAUGUAACGGGGCUAAGCA